This 497-nucleotide ribosomal RNA is filed under the name uncultured bacterium. RNAcentral describes it as "partial 16S ribosomal RNA". It matches the Rfam family "Bacterial small subunit ribosomal RNA", at positions 28 to 507 of the family's 1533-position model. The record is from RNAcentral.
GAUGAACGCUGGCGGCGUGCCUAAUACAUGCAAGUCGAGCGAUCAGACGAGGAGCUUGCUCCUCUGACGUUAGAGGCGGAAGUGUGAGUAACACGUGGACAACCUACCGAUAAGACUGGGAUAACUUCGGGAAACCGGAGCUAAUACCGGCUAAGAUAUUGAACCGCAUGGUUCAAUAGUGAAAGACGGUUUUGCUGUCACUUAUAGAUUGAUCCGCGCCGCAUUAGCUAGUUGGUAAGGUAACGGCUUACCAAGGCAACGAUGCGUAGCCGACCUGAGAGGGUGAUCAGCCACACUGGAACUGAGACACGGUCCAGACUCCUACGGGAGGCAGCAGUGGGGAAUCUUCCGCAAUGGGCGAAAGCUUGACGGAGCAACGCCGCGUGAGUGAUGAAGGUCUUCGGAUCGUAAAACUCUUUUAUUAGGUAAGAACAACUGUGUUAGUACCUAUGCAGGUCUUGACGGUACCUAAUCAGAAAGCCGCGGCUAACUACGUG